AACGAGUCAAAGCUCUUCUCCCUUUUCAACAAAUCUUCUCAUUUUUCUCCUUUUCUGGUUCCUCAGAUACUUUGAGGAAGUUGGUAGGGGGGGUGAUUUGAGCUAGAGAUCGGUCUUUUGGCUAUCUGUUUCGUCGUUAUAAGAUGCACUUCUGGUCAUCAUCAUACCAAAAUGCAGUUAUUAGGCUGGUUUUUAUAUCUAAAUGGACACCAAGAAGUUCAUCCAAUUGGUUGAGGAGAAGAAGAAGAGGGCUUUGGAGAAGAAGGAAGCCCCAUUGAAAUGGGAACAGAAACUUGAAGCUGCUGCCAAGGCGAAGGCUGAUGCUGAAGCCAAAGCAAGGAAGAUCAAGGCUUCCAAGCAUAAAAGAAGAUCCAUAUCAGAUUCUGAUACUGAUUCAGAAAGUGAUAGCCAUGAUGGAGGAAGGAAAGCAGGUAAGAGAAGUCAUAAGAAGCACAGGAAACAUAGCCACUCUGAUUCGGGUGACAUUGAGAAGAGAAAAGAUAGAAAAUCUAAGAGAAAACUGAAACGACAUCGCUCAUCUCAUGAUGACAGCAGUGACGAAUUUGACCACUCUAGUGAAGAUAGGAGGAAGAAGAGAAACCAUAGAAGACAUGCUCAUGACAAUUCAAAUUCGGAUGAAAGUUACUCUAGUUCUAGUGGUGAUGAUGUUGAGACGACAAAAAGAAGUCAUUCCAGGCAUCACAGACAUCAUAGGCGAAUUGACUAUUCAUCAUCUGACGAUUCUAGCAGUGAGGAUGAUACUGCUUUGCGAAGGAAAAAGCGUGUCAGACACCACAGGCCCCACCAUCGCCACGUGCAGUCUCAUCGAUCAUGUAGUAUUGAUUCAUCAGACCGUAAUUACUGGAGGUGUGAUGCCAGAAGCCAAUCCUCAGGGAAGUCAUCUGAUGAUAAUCAUGAAGAAUCAGCAAUAUUAGAAUCCAGGCACAAGAGUAGCCACCAUAUCAAACCCCGGCACCAUCAUUCAGGUGCCAAUGGUUUGACCCAGAUCGAUGAAAAACAUGCUGACAAUGAUGCUGAUGAAAAUGACCAUGAUCGUGCUAAGGAUUCUCACUAACCCCAAAUACUACUAGAUGAUGGGGAUACUACUUGUGAUUCUUUCAGAUAUUGGUUUAUUGUUCCUGCUAUGCGUUCGUUUUACGUGGACUGCUUAUAUAUCAUUGUUAAGACAC
RNAcentral lists this unclassified non-coding RNA (1190 nucleotides) under Hevea brasiliensis (rubber tree). The record is from RNAcentral. Lineage: Eukaryota; Viridiplantae; Streptophyta; Magnoliopsida; Malpighiales; Euphorbiaceae.